AACGCUAGCUACAGGCUUAACACAUGCAAGUCGAGGGGCAGCAUGUUGGUUGCUUGCAACCAAUGAUGGCGACCGGCGCACGGGUGAGUAACGCGUAUCCAACCUUCCCCUUACUCGGGUCCAGCCCGUUGAAAGACGGAUUAAUCCCCGAUGCUCUCAUAUGCUGGCAUCAGUUUAUGAGCAAAGAUUUAUCGGUAAGGGAUGGGGAUGCGUAUGAUUAGCUUGUUGGUGUGGUAACGGCUCACCAAGGCUACGAUCAUUAGGGGUUCUGAGAGGAAGGUCCCCCACACUGGAACUGAGACACGGUCCAGACUCCUACGGGAGGCAGCAGUGAGGAAUAUUGGUCAAUGGAGGCAACUCUGAACCAGCCAAGUAGCGUGCAGGAUGACGGCCCUAUGGGUUGUAAACUGCUUUUAUGCGGGGAUAAACGAGCCUACGUGUAGGUUUUUGCAGGUACCGCAUGAAUAAGGACCGGCUAAUUCCGUGCCAGCAGCCGCGGUAAUACGGAAGGUCCGGGCGUUAUCCGGAUUUAUUGGGUUUAAAGGGAGCGUAGGCGGCCUGUUAAGCGUGUUGUGAAAUGUGGGUGCUCAACAUCUGCACUGCAGCGCGAACUGGCGGGCUUGAGUGGGCUGAAAGUAUGCGGAAUUCGUGGUGUAGCGGUGAAAUGCUUAGAUAUCACGAGGAACUCCGAUUGCGAAGGCAGCAUGCUGUGUCCUUACUGACGCUGAAGCUCGAAGGUGCGGGUAUCGAACAGGAUUAGAUACCCUGGUAGUCCGCACGGUAAACUAUGGAUGCCCGCUGUUGGCGAUACACUGUCAGCGGCCAAGCGAAAGCGUUAAGCAUCCCACCUGGGGAGUACGCCGGCAACGGUGAAACUCAAAGGAAUUGACGGGGGCCCGCACAAGCGGAGGAACAUGUGGUUUAAUUCGAUGAUACGCGAGGAACCUUACCCGGGCUUAAAUUGCACUGGACAGGCCAAGAGAUUGGCUCUUCUUCGGACCAGUGUGAAGGUGCUGCAUGGUUGUCGUCAGCUCGUGCCGUGAGGUGUCGGCUUAAGUGC
This 1060-nucleotide ribosomal RNA is filed under the name uncultured Bacteroidales bacterium. RNAcentral's name for it is "bacterial SSU rRNA". It matches the Rfam family "Bacterial small subunit ribosomal RNA", at positions 32 to 1087 of the family's 1533-position model. The record is from RNAcentral. Lineage: Bacteria; Pseudomonadati; Bacteroidota; Bacteroidia; Bacteroidales.